UACAGAGGUGUCAAGCGUUGUUCGGAUUCAUUGGGCGUAAAGGGCUCGUAGGCGGCCAACUAAGUCAGACGUGAAAUCCCUCGGCUUAACCGGGGAACUGCGUCUGAUACUGGAUGGCUUGAGGUUGGGAGAGGGAUGCGGAAUUCCAGGUGUAGCGGUGAAAUGCGUAGAUAUCUGGAGGAACACCGGUGGCGAAGGCGGCAUCCUGGACCAAUUCUGACGCUGAGGAGCGAAAGCCAGGGGAGCAAACGGG
RNAcentral lists this ribosomal RNA (253 nucleotides) under uncultured bacterium. Its description in RNAcentral is "partial 16S ribosomal RNA". It matches the Rfam family "Bacterial small subunit ribosomal RNA", at positions 524 to 776 of the family's 1533-position model. The record is from RNAcentral.